This 308-nucleotide ribosomal RNA is filed under the name Clostridioides difficile. Its description in RNAcentral is "bacterial SSU rRNA". It matches the Rfam family "Bacterial small subunit ribosomal RNA", at positions 1 to 317 of the family's 1533-position model. Lineage: Bacteria; Bacillati; Bacillota; Clostridia; Peptostreptococcales; Peptostreptococcaceae. The record is from RNAcentral.
UUUAUUUGAGAGUUUGAUCCUGGCUCAGGAUGAACGCUGGCGGCGUGCCUAACACAUGCAAGUUGAGCGAUUUACUUCGGUAAAGAGCGGCGGACGGGUGAGUAACGCGUGGGUAACCUACCCUGUACACACGGAUAACAUACCGAAAGGUAUGCUAAUACGGGAUAAUAUAUUUGAGAGGCAUCUCUUGAAUAUCAAAGGUGAGCCAGUACAGGAUGGACCCGCGUCUGAUUAGCUAGUUGGUAAGGUAACGGCUUACCAAGGCGACGAUCAGUAGCCGACCUGAGAGGGUGAUCGGCCACAUUGGA